GUCUAUGGUCAGGCCACCCUGAGGGCGCUCAAUCUCGUCUCAUCUCAAAAGCUAAGUAGGGUCAGGCCUGGUUAGUACUUGGCUGGGAGACUUCCUGGGAAUACUGUGUGCUGUAGGCU
Molecule: ribosomal RNA, 119 nt
Organism: Prolemur simus (greater bamboo lemur)
Lineage: Eukaryota; Metazoa; Chordata; Mammalia; Primates; Lemuridae
Source: Ensembl